ACAAAUUAGGUUAAUGAUAAUGGGCCUAAGUUUAUUUUGAAACCCAAUAUUAAAUUAAAAACUAAAUAAAGUUAAAUAAUUAAAAUAGUUAAAAUUAAAAUAAAAACUAAUUAACCUAUUUAUUUAUUCUAGACCCAAUAUAAAAAUAAAUAGACUCAAAAAAAAUAAAAGUCGGGCACCAAAAUGCUCGAAAAAAUAAAAUGAACACGUCAAAAUAAU
This 219-nucleotide long non-coding RNA is filed under the name Lathyrus oleraceus (garden pea). RNAcentral describes it as "Pisum sativum (pea) long non-coding RNA (PSAT_LNC034765)". The record is from RNAcentral. Lineage: Eukaryota; Viridiplantae; Streptophyta; Magnoliopsida; Fabales; Fabaceae.